AAGUUAUCCCCGCUAUUCCGCCAAACGGAAUUAUUUUUACCGGAAUAUUUUAUUCCGGUCAAAGCUUGCUAUUCCCGGUUAUCCCGAAAUAGCAAGCUUUUUACUAUUCCACCAUUUUAGUGGAAUAGUGCAAUUCCCAUGCUUAAUUUCAAACUUAAUUAAAAUUAUAAAAUAAAUUAAAAUUAAAUUAUAUAAAUAUAAUAUAUUAUAUAUUAUAAUACAUUAUUUUAUUAUAAAAUUAUUAAUUGUGCUAUACUAAUACAUAUUAUUUAUAUUUAAAUAUUAUAAUAAAUUUUAUAAUAAAUUAUAUUUAAAUAUUAAAAUAAAUUAAAAUUUAAAAUUUAAAUAAAUUUAAAAUUUAAAAUAUUAUAAUAAAUUAUAUUUAAAAUUUAAAAUUUGUAAUCUCAAA
Molecule: long non-coding RNA, 409 nt
Filed under: Ananas comosus (pineapple)
Lineage: Eukaryota; Viridiplantae; Streptophyta; Magnoliopsida; Poales; Bromeliaceae
Description: long non-coding RNA (ACOM_LNC021797)
Source: RNAcentral